AGAGAUUUGUUCAGAAGACUACAUUCUUGGUCCAUACUUUGAUAACAUGUGCCUCAUUAAAAUCUCAUUUGUGGCUUUGCUAUUAAUUAUUGGCGUGCCUCUACUUUUACUUUGUGGCAGAAAAGGUGAGAGAAACUUUUCAUUUUUGAAUGCCUGCUAUACUUUAUCUGAUUUCUUUAUAAAUACUAUUUCUAUUACAGAUAAAAGGGGGAAUACAAAGGUCGAAAUGUCAUGAACAAUGUUUAUUCGGCAUCUGAUGAACAAUGGAAAAGUGAGAUUUUUUUAGGGAGAUAAAUUUCCAUGUUGCCAAACUGGAUGCAAGCAAUACACAAACUUUGAAAAAUAUGACUAUCCUUAUUAACAUAUAUGCUAACAUAUAUUUGUGAUGCUACCUUUAACAGCAAAGCUUCUGUAACGAACCUUGCAUCUGCAGAUUACAAAAAUAUACCCAUGUCAUUUUUGGAUAUGCCUCCACAAUAUAUAUUGCUACUUGCUACGAGCUAAUAAUAAAAAGGUUUUUGUCUUGAC
Non-coding RNA from Pelobates cultripes (western spadefoot toad), 528 nucleotides. NCBI's taxonomy places the organism in Eukaryota, Metazoa, Chordata, Amphibia, Anura, Pelobatidae. The record is from the annotation of a GenBank genome assembly.